Molecule: ribosomal RNA, 818 nt
Filed under: uncultured bacterium
Lineage: Bacteria
Description: bacterial SSU rRNA
Rfam family: Bacterial small subunit ribosomal RNA
Source: RNAcentral
UGAACCUAGUGAUGUAUGGAUUAGUGGCGGACGGGUGAGUAACGCGUGGAUAACCUGCCGUAUACAGGGGGAUAACACUUAGAAAUAGGUGCUAAUACCGCAUAAGCGCACGGUUCCGCAUGGAACAGUGUGAAAAACUCCGGUGGUAUACGAUGGAUCCGCGUCUGAUUAGCCAGUUGGCGGGGUAACGGCCCACCAAAGCGACGAUCAGUAGCCGGCCUGAGAGGGUGAACGGCCACAUUGGGACUGAGACACGGCCCAAACUCCUACGGGAGGCAGCAGUGGGGAAUAUUGCACAAUGGGGGAAACCCUGAUGCAGCGACGCCGCGUGAGUGAAGAAGUAUUUCGGUACGUAAAGCUCUAUCAGCAGGGAAGAAAAAAAGUCCUUUGGACUUUGGACGGUACCUGACUAAGAAGCCCCGGCUAACUACGUGCCAGCAGCCGCGGUAAUACGUAGGGGGCAAGCGUUAUCCGGAUUUACUGGGUGUAAAGGGAGCGUAGACGGCAGCGCAAGUCUGGAGUGAAAUGCCGGGGCCCAACCCCGGAACUGCUUUGGAAACUGUGCAGCUGGAGUGCAGGAGAGGUAAGCGGAAUUCCUAGUGUAGCGGUGAAAUGCGUAGAUAUUAGGAGGAACACCAGUGGCGAAGGCGGCUUACUGGACUGUAACUGACGUUGAGGCUCGAAAGCGUGGGGAGCAAACAGGAUUAGAUACCCUGGUAGUCCACGCCGUAAACGAUGAUUACUAGGUGUCGGGGGGUCAAGGCCCUCCGGUGCCGCCGCAAACGCAUUAAGUAAUCCACCUGGGGAGUACGUUCGCA